CUGAACUCUUUUUCCUCCUCAGGUCAACAAAGGCCUCUCCUGUCUUUGACACUCAAGCCAAAAUUCUUCAGUUAUCUUGAUUCUGGCUUUUUAUCAUCCCUCACAUCUAAUCCCUCACAGCUAAUCACUGUUGAUUCUACCUGUACAACAAAUGUAUUUCUACAUCCUUUUCUAACUUCAGGCAAACUCAAUAUUAGCUAAUGGCUGCACCACUGAAACUGCUUCUAACUGUGGAUCCUUCCACCCUUGUUUCCCUUCUUCCUCUCCUACAAUGCACUCUGCAGUGUUUUCUAAGAUCCUACAAGGUCCACCUAUUCUCAUACCUUGUUUCAUUCUCCCUGUAGCUCACCAUGAGCCAGACACAUUCACCUUUCUGCUCUUCAAAUCUGUUGAUCUCUCCCCAAUGGGAGUCUUUCCUCUGCCCAUAGGAAGGCUCUCUCCUCUCUUCUUCUAGUUGAAGUGGGAACUUCAUGCCCUCUGAGAAGCCUUUCCUAACCUUCUUCAUAGAUCCUCACAGCACCCAGACUUCUCCUUUGUGACACUACAAGCGUCACUAAACAAUUUAGGAAGUGAGUGUUUCAUAGCUCCCAGUUGUGUCAUAAGCUAAACUCUAGGAGGGCUGUCACUGCCUUACUCCCUGUUUUAUCCCCAGUGGUGAGAAGAAUGCUUCUCCUGGUUUGUUGUUACUAAAAAGGUCUUGAAUGAAUUAACUCCAUCUAACUCUGUGCAUGGUUGCCCUCAAAUUCUCAUUAUACUUACUGUACUUAUGUGCUUGAGCCUUCUCUAUGUAACCUGUUUCCUGUCCACAUUGAUCACCUCCUUGGUCUCCACCCCAGUGUCUCCACUCAGACAGGAAAUAUACACUCAUUGGCUGCUAUCUCUGGAAUAUAAUACUAACUGAAAUUUUGAAAAAAGACUAAAGCUUUAAAGGACUAAACUGACAAGGUAUUAUUGGAGUCCAGAAGAGGAGAAUUCAACCAAGUCUUGAAUCCAUUGAUGAUUCACAGAAAAAUUCCUGGAG
RNAcentral lists this long non-coding RNA (1021 nucleotides) under Heterocephalus glaber (naked mole-rat). RNAcentral describes it as "lncRNA (ENSHGLG00000048051.1)". Lineage: Eukaryota; Metazoa; Chordata; Mammalia; Rodentia; Bathyergidae. The record is from RNAcentral.